UGGGGAAUUUUGGACAAUGGGCGAAAGCCUGAUCCAGCAAUGCCGCGUGCAGGAUGAAGGCCUUCGGGUUGUAAACUGCUUUUGUACGGAACGAAACGGUCUCUCUUAAUACGGGGGGCUAAUGACGGUACCGUAAGAAUAAGCACCGGCUAACUACGUGCCAGCAGCCGCGGUAAUACGUAGGGUGCAAGCGUUGUCCGGAAUUAUUGGGCGUAAAGAGCUCGUAGGUGGUUCGAUACGUCGGAUGUGAAAAUCAGGGGCUCAACCCCUGACCUGCAUCCGAUACGGUCGAGCUAGAGUUUGGUAGGGGAGACUGGAAUUCCUGGUGUAGCGGUGGAAUGCGCAGAUAUCAGGAGGAACACCGAUGGCGAAGGCAGGUCUCUGGGCAACUACUGACGCUGAGGAGCGAAAGCGUGGGGAGCAAACAGG
This 429-nucleotide ribosomal RNA is filed under the name uncultured bacterium. RNAcentral's name for it is "bacterial SSU rRNA". It matches the Rfam family "Bacterial small subunit ribosomal RNA", at positions 355 to 776 of the family's 1533-position model. The record is from RNAcentral.